RNAcentral lists this ribosomal RNA (497 nucleotides) under uncultured bacterium. RNAcentral's name for it is "partial 16S ribosomal RNA". It matches the Rfam family "Bacterial small subunit ribosomal RNA", at positions 28 to 507 of the family's 1533-position model. The record is from RNAcentral.
GAUGAACGCUGGCGGCGUGCCUAAUACAUGCAAGUCGAGCGAACAGACGAGGAGCUUGCUCCUCUGACGUUAGCGGCGGACGGGUGAGUCACACGUGGCUAACCUCCCUAUAAGACUGGGCUCACUUAGGGACACCGGAGCUACUACCGGAUAACCUGUUGAACGGCUUGGUUCAUCAGUGAAACACCGUUUUGCUGUCCCUUAUAGAUGGAUCCGCGCCGCAUUAGCUAGUUGGUAAGGUAACGGCUUACCAAGGCAACGAUGGGUAGCCGACCUGAGAGGGUGAUCGGCCACACUGGAACUGAGACACGGUCCAGACUCCUACGGGAGGCAGCAGUAGGGAAUCUUGCGCAAUGGGCGAAAGCCUGACGGAGCAACGCCGCGUGAGUGAAGAAGGUCUUCGGAUUGUAAACCUCUGUUAGUAGGGAAGAACGAAUGUGUAAGUAACGAUGCACGGCUUGACGGUACCUAAUCAGAAAGCCACGGCUAACUACGUG